RNAcentral lists this non-coding RNA (20 nucleotides) under Arabidopsis thaliana (thale cress). The record is from RNAcentral. Lineage: Eukaryota; Viridiplantae; Streptophyta; Magnoliopsida; Brassicales; Brassicaceae.
UGAUGUGUUACUCAUAUGGA